RNAcentral lists this small nucleolar RNA (97 nucleotides) under Pogona vitticeps (central bearded dragon). Its description in RNAcentral is "Small nucleolar SNORD12/SNORD106 (ENSPVIG00000024478.1)". It matches the Rfam family "Small nucleolar SNORD12/SNORD106". Rfam says of the family: This family belong to the C/D class of snoRNA which contain the C (UGAUGA) and D (CUGA) box motifs. This family includes the human ortholog of mouse snoRNA HBII-99 and human snoRNA U106. In humans both HB11-99 and U106 snoRNAs share the same host gene. The record is from Rfam by way of RNAcentral. Lineage: Eukaryota; Metazoa; Chordata; Lepidosauria; Squamata; Agamidae.
ACGGGUGCACGUGAUGACUUUCUGACUUUUUUCCCCAUCAGAGCGGACGUGGUGAUCUCUUUUUGCUGUUCAGCCAGAAAUGGUCUGAUGCACCAGG